Molecule: unclassified non-coding RNA, 392 nt
Filed under: soil metagenome
Description: partial contains 5.8S ribosomal RNA, internal transcribed spacer 2, and large subunit ribosomal RNA
Rfam family: 5.8S ribosomal RNA (bases 1-122)
Source: RNAcentral
GAUGAAGAACGCAGCGAAAUGCGAUACUUGGUGUGAAUUGCAGAAUCCCGUGAACCAUCGAGUCUUUGAACGCAAGUUGCGCCCGAAGCCACUAGGCCGAGGGCACGCCUGCCUGGGCGUCACACGUCGUUGCCCCCCCAUCUACUCCUUCGGGAUUGCGGGGGGGGCGGAUGAUGGCCUCCCGUGCGCCUAGCCGCGCGGUUGGCAUAAAUACCAAGUCCUCGGCGACGCACGCCACGACAAUCGGUGGUUGCGAAACCUCGGUUGCCCGUCGUGUGCGUUCGUCGCGCAUCGAGGGCUCGAAAAAAUGCUCGGCUUCGGCUCGGCUUUCAACGCGACCCCAGGUCAGGCGGGGUUACCCGCUGAAUUUAAGCAUAUCAAUAAGCGGAGGA